Molecule: long non-coding RNA, 2263 nt
Organism: Scophthalmus maximus (turbot)
Lineage: Eukaryota; Metazoa; Chordata; Actinopteri; Pleuronectiformes; Scophthalmidae
Exons: 3
Source: RefSeq, a predicted model, not a curated record
CGGUGGUGAGAUGGUUUCUGCUCCCAGGCCUCCUUAGCCAGGUCAAGCAUCCCCCGAGGCCUCCGGCCAUACAGCAGCUCAAACGGUGAGAACCCGGUCGAGCUCUGCGGGACCUCUCGGACUGCAAAGAGGACAUAAGCCUGGAACCUGAUAAAUCCUGGAAUUGACAGCAGCCACAAGUGUUACUCUGAACCUUUAUUGACAGGACAGUUCAGUGUGAAGGGGGGAGAGAGUGGCGAAGACAUGCAGCAAGGUGUCGGAGUUGAACCCACAGCCGCUGCAGGAAGACUCAAGCCUCCAGACGUGGGGCGCCGGUGCUACCACUGAGCUAGUCAAUGCCCUCAUUUUCUUACUCUGGCAAAAGAGAGAAGAGAAAUCUAAUCCAAAUAAUCCAAUCGUAGCCUUGUGAGAGUUAUAUCCAUGUUUUCUGUCAUUAGAACUCAGUAGAACAUGCGCUAUGCUUUGCGUGUCUGUGACAGUGCGAUGUUGUUUUUACUGAUGUCACCAGCAAAUGGUCAAAAUUGCAUACUGCAUCUUGUUCAACAAGGUGGAGUCAGUCACUCAGUCCAUUACAUAAGCAGAUCUAGAGCUAGCGCAAUUAAAGUGUCAGGGUUAAAAACAGUCCAGAAUUUAGGGGCACAAAAAAAUAAUGGGGCUAAUUCAGGGAAGGUUUACCUGUUUAUUUUGCCACUCAAUGAAAGCAUGCAAUAAUGCGCUUAAAAAGAUUCUUUAUGCAUGACAACUUUCAAGUUUGAGGGAGCAGUUUUUCAUAUCUGUUCAACAUGAAUGAGACUGAAAAUGCUUGGUUACAAAACAAUAAGACCCCAUCCAGUACAUAUUUUUCAAACAAAUGCUUGAACAGAUAUGAUCAGAACAUUGGGCAACAUGGUGGCUCAGGGGUUAGCACUGUCGCCUCACAGAAAGAAGGUCCUGAGUUUAAAUCCUGGCCGUCUCAGGAUCUUUCCGUGGAGUAUGUAUAUUUUCCCCUUGUGUGCGUGGGUUUCCUCUGGGUGCUCUGGUUUGUCCUACCAUCAACAUUUAUAUCAGGUCAAUGUUCCUCCUAGAACUGGAGUUGGUGCCUGGGCCCUGCACAGUGGCUGUCCACUGCUCCUAUUUAGGAUGGGUUAAAUGCUGAGAAUGAAUUCCCCCACAGGGACCAACAAAGUAUAAAUUACCUUGAACUGUAUUUCAAGGUUCUUUCAAGGUUCUUUGGUUGAUCAGAAACAUUGCAGACUUUGAAUGGAGUAGAAAAAAGGGGACAAGUGAAGGAGUGAGUAUGACCAGACGAAGCAAAGAGAAGCUUCCUUAACGCAUCAUCACAGGCGACACACACACACAAAGAUGUAUGCAUCUUUCUCUUUCACAGAUAUACACACAAGUUACUCUCUUUCAUACAUAGAGAGUUCACAUGUGUUCCACAAACCACAAGAGUUGUUUAUUAAUUUGGUUUGUUAACUAGUAUGUAAACUAAUGUUUGGAUGUUCAUAUCAGGGCUGUACAAUAUAUUAAUAUUUCAGUGAUUUUGAUAUAAGACUGCUUAUAGUCUGGGAUUUUGGAUAAAGUAAUAUAGUGAUAUGGCAUAAGUUCCUCACUUUAAAGGUUGCUUUACAGUAAAAGACAGUACACAGUUGUAGCCAUUUUAUUUGUUCAUACCAUCUUGGUCAUCCUAUCCAAAUUACUAAGGAUUGUCGAAAUAUUUUGAUAAAGAACCAAUAGUGAUCCUUCAAAUUUCACAAUAUCGUUAUCUAGGUAUUCAGUCAAAAAAUGUAAUAUUUGAUUUUGUCCAUAUCACCUCAGAUAUGUUCCAUUGCAAUUUCAUUCUGCUUUAUUAUUCUAAAUAUAUUUUUAUUAUUUAUUUAUACACACAUACAUACAUGAAGGAACAGGUUCAUUCUGCUUAUAUUUGGCCAAAAACAAAAGGUGUUCCUACUGUAAAAACAUUUGAGUUUGUCAGUUUUUGAGUUUAAUUUAAAUUUUAAAACCAUUGCAAAUGUGCCAUUGUUGAUUAAUUCUGCUUUUUUAUUUGAAAAUAAAUAGUUUUUUCUUUUAUGUAUAUAUAUUUUCAUAGUCAUGUUUUAUAUGUAUGUAUGUGUGAUUCCUUUUUAUAUUUUUGUAUGUAUAACUUUUGUUCCGAAAGGAAAAGUUUGUCAAUAAUGUCAACUAUGUUGUGUUAAUAUAAUGCUGAAUUAUAUUGAAGCCGUUGCAAAUGAGUAUGUUGUGGGGAAGUUUAUAUUUAUAGAGAAAUAAAUGAUUAUGUACGUAA